UACGUAGGGUGCAAGCGUUAAUCGGAAUUACUGGGCGUAAAGCGUGCGCAGGCGGCUAUGCAAGACAGAUGUGAAAUCCCCGGGCUUAACCUGGGAACUGCAUUUGUGACUGCAUGGCUAGAGUACGGUAGAGGGGGAUGGAAUUCCUGGUGUAGCGGUGAAAUGCGCAGAUAUCAGGAGGAACACCAACGGCGAAGGCAGCACUCUGGGCCGGAACUGACGCUGAGGAGCGAAAGCGUGGGUAGCGAACAGG
Molecule: ribosomal RNA, 253 nt
Filed under: uncultured bacterium
Lineage: Bacteria
Description: partial 16S ribosomal RNA
Rfam family: Bacterial small subunit ribosomal RNA
Source: RNAcentral